Molecule: ribosomal RNA, 170 nt
Filed under: uncultured bacterium
Lineage: Bacteria
Description: partial 16S ribosomal RNA
Rfam family: Bacterial small subunit ribosomal RNA
Source: RNAcentral
UGGGGAAUUUUGGACAAUGGGCGAAAGCCUGAUUCAGCCACGCCGCGUGCAGGAUGAAGGCCUUAGGGUUGUAAACUGUUUUAUAUAUGGUAGAAAUGACGGACUUGUCUAUAUAAUGAGGGCUGGCCAAGGUACCGUAAGAUAAAGCACCGGCUAACUACGUUCCAGCA